This is a long non-coding RNA of Ornithodoros turicata, 673 nucleotides long. RefSeq lists it as uncharacterized. The record is from RefSeq and is a predicted model, not a curated record. Lineage: Eukaryota; Metazoa; Arthropoda; Arachnida; Ixodida; Argasidae. The transcript is spliced from 2 exons.
UCUAAGACAUACAACACGUACGCGCAUGCGUACUUUAAAGUCCAUGCGGAUACAGGAAUGCGUCAUGUGUCUCCUCCAGUCCUAAUUUGGUUAAGACGGGUGCAUUCCUUUGCAGUGAUGCAAAUUUGACGUCUCGCAAAGGAAACGGGCAUAAAAGCGUGCACUUUCCCUAGGGAUCUCACAGAACGGCACCAGUUGCAACGUUCGACGCCUAAUCGAAAAUGGAGCAUUCCUUCUCGACUUGUUUUAUUUUGCUCGUCCUCGGACUCAUCAUUUCAUCUGCAGCUGUACAAGCCACCGGGAACAAUGGACAGGAGCAGCGUGGUUGCGCGCCACAAAGUACAGAGGAACGUAUGAAUUUGAAGGAGCCAAGAACCGUAGGUGCCGGUCGCCACCAACAGAAGCGUAGCUACUGUCGUGAACUGAUCUGUCCGCGAGCAUGCAAAGACCAGCCACCUGAAUGGGAGCAAUUCUGCGUUAACAUGUGCAUGAAGACAGCAGUACACAUCCCUCUCUGCGCUAAGUAGAAGCAGUGAUGAAUCAAGUGCCGACGCCUGCUUAGCAUGCAGCUAUGUACCGGUAAUAAUGAGCUCCUCCCUUUUUCAGAAGGCUUGUAAUCUUUCCAUGCGAUGCAAUAAAUACGAGGCAGACUGCUUCUAAAUAACAACAACAA